This 278-nucleotide long non-coding RNA is filed under the name Bos taurus (domestic cattle). Its description in RNAcentral is "long non-coding RNA NONBTAT001804". The record is from RNAcentral. Lineage: Eukaryota; Metazoa; Chordata; Mammalia; Artiodactyla; Bovidae.
CCCCCACCAGAUUGUCACCUCCUGAUCUGAGUUACUGCCUUAGUAACUUGCUUUGUAACUCAGAUCAGGCGGUGAUGGAGCCGUUUGACCCUUACUCGUGGUGGUUUUCACGUGAUGAUAGAACAAUGUUCGUGUUGUUGUCUUCGCUAUAGUUCUUGUUUGUGGGUUGAUAGUCAUGAUACUUUAGGACCUUAUUGGGAAGUUGCUUCUCGACUGAAGCCUACUGCACCCCUCUUUCCAUUACUGAAGUCAACCAGUUUCUCUUCCACGCGAGGCCU